AGUGCCCGAGUUUUGUCUCUGGAGAGGGGAUUCGGCCGCCAAACCUGCCGCCGAAAGACCCCUAUCCAGCUUUUCUUUGCCCAUUUUUCCAUGCAUGCUUAUGAUGUUUUAAGGGAUUUUUGGGGAGAUGUUUAUAGCUAUAUUAGAGUAUGUUUGGUCCUCAUUUGAGUCCACCUGUGUAGGUGCGGACCCAAGGAACCAAGGAGGCC
This 209-nucleotide long non-coding RNA is filed under the name Manihot esculenta (cassava). Its description in RNAcentral is "long non-coding RNA (MESC_LNC001967)". Lineage: Eukaryota; Viridiplantae; Streptophyta; Magnoliopsida; Malpighiales; Euphorbiaceae. The record is from RNAcentral.